RNAcentral lists this transfer RNA (84 nucleotides) under Mycobacterium koreense. RNAcentral describes it as "Mycolicibacillus koreensis tRNA-Ala". Lineage: Bacteria; Bacillati; Actinomycetota; Actinomycetes; Mycobacteriales; Mycobacteriaceae. The record is from RNAcentral.
CUCGAUCUUGGCGCGGUUGCGCACGAUGCCCGCGUCGUCGAGCAGCCGUUGCACGUCGUCGGUGGUGAACCCGGCGACCGACUC